AGGACGAACGCUGGCGGCGUGCUUAACACAUGCAAGUCGAACGAGGUCCAUCCUUCGGGAGAAGACCUAGUGGCGAACGGGUGCGUAACACGUGAGGAACUUGUCCCGGUCUCUGGGAUAACAGUUGGAAACGACUGCUAAUACCAGAUGACGUCGGAGCGUCGCAUGGCGCGCUGACGAAAGGGUUACCGGAUCGGGAGAGCCUCGCGGCCUAUCAGCUUGUUGGUGGGUAACGGCCUACCAAGGCAUCGACGGGUA
Molecule: ribosomal RNA, 258 nt
Filed under: uncultured bacterium
Lineage: Bacteria
Description: partial small subunit ribosomal RNA
Rfam family: Bacterial small subunit ribosomal RNA
Source: RNAcentral